This 305-nucleotide ribosomal RNA is filed under the name Salmonella enterica. RNAcentral's name for it is "partial 23S ribosomal RNA". It matches the Rfam family "Bacterial large subunit ribosomal RNA", at positions 504 to 672 of the family's 2925-position model. The record is from RNAcentral. RNAcentral also lists the same sequence under 418 other names. Lineage: Bacteria; Pseudomonadati; Pseudomonadota; Gammaproteobacteria; Enterobacterales; Enterobacteriaceae.
UGAGGGAAAGGCGAAAAGAACCCCGGCGAGGGGAGUGAAAAAGAACCUGAAACCGUGUACGUACAAGCAGUGGGAGCCCCACCACCAAAGCAUUUGCUGUACCGCGUUGACGGAGCGAAGCGACGUCAAACCGAUAAAACAGCAGUGUAAAGUGAGCCGCAGGGCGCUUUGCGCGACAGCGCAAAGGCAGGCGGUUUCGCGUAGCGAAAGCGAAUGCUUUGGGGUGGGGUGACUGCGUACCUUUUGUAUAAUGGGUCAGCGACUUAUAUUCUGUAGCAAGGUUAACCGAAUAGGGGAGCCGGAGG